CUAAUUUCUUAAUGUAAGAGCUGAAGUCGUUCACUCAGGGCCUUCUCUCUUCUCUGAUGCAGGCGUUUGAUCCCUGUAGCCUUACAGGCUAUCAGCUCCCUAAGUACUGCUUUUGCAACAAACUCCAAUUUGUUGUGUUUUCUUUUUGUUCAAAAUAUUUUCCGUCUCUCCCCAUCUCCUGUGCGGCCCGUGGGUUAUUUGGAAGUGUGGUAUUUAGCCUCUAAGUAUUGGAGGCUUCUGCGAUCUUUCUGUUGCUGAUUUCUGAUUGAGGUUCCUUUCGGUCAGGGAAUAUUUUUAUGUGGCUUAAAUUCUUCCAAAGUGAGCGAGACUCAUUUUGUAGUUCUGGGUUUAGUCUGCGUGGUGCCUCUUGUGGGCGAGCGGUGUGGACGGUGCUGUUGAAGGCACAUCCUUACUUCUAUGUCCACUUCAUCCUAAUCCUGCCCCUCUUCUCCUGCCCACCUCUUCUCAUUCCAGGGGCGUCCUUGGCCCGUGAAGGGUACUGGGGUCACCGCAGUGGCCUCCGACCAGCUGUGACUCGACCCCUGGGCCCACAGGUGUAGCCGCCUUCUCUGAGACAUUCGGCCCCAUGGCUGGUGAAGGACUGAGCAAACCUUGGGUUCUGUUACGAGGAAGUAGGGGGGCCGUGGCUGGUGGGGUCUGUUACCCUCUGUCUGACUGUCUCCCAACGUGGCCAGACAUCUGACCGUGUCAGAGUUUUGAUCACCCCCCUCCAGGGGCUACACGGCAACUUCCGAGUGUCAGGUCACCAGAAGGACACUGGGGGCUCCGGCGACCUGACCUUCGUGCGCCUCUCCCCACCUUGCACCGCCAGCUCCCCGGCAGUUGCCGGGGAUCCCGGGCUGUGUCUGGGGUCCCUCUGGGAGCUGUGCACCCCACUCCCACAGCUCUGUGGUGCUCACACUUGUGAGCACUGGGCCUUUCGUCCCAGGGGCUCGAUGAAUCUUUUCUGAACUGAACUACAGCCCUGUUGGCAUCUGUCCUGAGCUCCAGGCCUGUCUGGCCCGUGCACGGUUUGUCCCAGCCCCGGAAAAGUGCUGUGUCAGCACCUCCGGCCCCUUCUUUCUCCUGCAUUCUGGGUCUCGGGGAAUGUACCUUCUAGAGCUGCUCAGGGCAGGAUUUGGGGAUGAUCCUUUCUCUCCUAACCCCAUAUCCCUCCUGUCACCAAGCCCUGUCAGUCCUGUCUGAUGACUCUCCAAUUUUGCUCUUUCUCUCCUCCCGGGGCGGAGUACAGGCCCCACCCCCCAGAUGGCUGCAGUGGCCUCCACACUGGCCUUCCUGUCUCCAGCCUCGGUCCUAUGCCCGCUUUCUGCAGCCAGAGCAGGGGCACCCCCUGCGUAAAUCCUUUCAUGCUCCCUCUUCUAACUACUUGUCCUGCUUGUAAGGCCCUUCGCACCUGCCUCCUACUUAUUCUCUGGCACCUGUCUUAAGGAGUGCUCUCAAACUCACUGAGCACAGGCCAUGUGGGAUUAUCCCCACUCUCCCCAGCGGGACUGGAAGCUUGCUCUCAGCCGGAAGUGAGACUACCCUGGCUUCUGCUCCCCAGCUGGCUCACGGGUGCUCCCAUCAGAACUCAGCUCAAGCGUUACAGACCCUGGGAAAGGACCCCACCCCCGCCCCCUCUCCAGGGAGACCUCCCAGCCCCGCCCACUCUCCGGGGAGCCGCCCCCGCCCCGCCCGCUCUCCGAGGACACUCCCGGCCCCGCCCACUAUGCUGGGAGACGCCCCCGCCCCGCCCACUCUCCCCAGCUCCGCCCUCUCUCCAGGGAGACGCCCCAGCCCUUCCCCUCAUUAUACAGGGAGAUGCCCUCAGCCCCGCCCACUCUCCUGGGUUGACACACGUGGCUCUCCCCACUGUCACAGACCCUGGCCCCGCACUGUAUUUGUCACUUAACAAUGUCUUGUGGCACUUCUGUGCUCCAGGCCCUAGGGUAACAGGUGCCCACUCCUUGGGGCUUCUGUUUCAGUGGGUGUCAGGCUGGGGGGCGCCAGUGCUAAGCACACACUGAUUACCACGGACACCCUGCAGCUGUCCAUCAGGGUGUCAACGGAGUAGCCUGAGGAGUUAGGGACGGUUUCCCGGAGGAGGUGGUGGUCGCCUGGGAGUCCUGCGGGGGGAGGGCCUGGCAGGCAGAUGAAGAAGGUGGGGGGGGGGGGACGUUGCCAGAGUUCAAGCAGAGGAGCCCUGGGUGGUGAGGGGUUGGGCUCUCCAGGGGCUGGGAGAGCGUGUGUGGCAGGUGGGGUGGGAAGGGCACCGCACGGAAGAGAGCCAGGCCGCGGGGGGCCACCCACGAGGACUUGGCUUUUAUCCCGCAGCUCCGGGAAGCCUUUCCAGGGUCUGAAGCAGAGGAAGGGGCGGCACGGUCAGAUUUGCGUUUUCCAGCGAUUUCUGUGCUGCCCUGCGGAGGCGGGUUUGAGGGCAGGGGGGACGGCGGUGGGGCCAGUUAGGUGUGAGGGAUGUGACUUGGGGCAGAGGGGCAGGGACGGAGGGAGGGCGAUGUUGGGAGCUGUCAUGAGGCUGGGUCACCAGGACCGGGGGCACACCUGCCAUGUGAGGUGCUGGGGCUCUGGGGGGGGUGGUGUGGGGGACAGAGAGGUGGGCGCCGCAAGGAGGGACACACGUUCACCCCUGGCUCUCAGGUGUGGGGCCCGGCGAGUGACCCACUGGACAGAUGCCCUCGGGCUUGCUGACCCGCUUUGUCCGCUGAGCGGCCGUCACACAAGAGCCGCUCCUCCUCGGGUGACCACGGGAGAGCCCCGCUAUGGCCUUCCUCACCUGGCGGGCUUCCUGUCCAGCUGGUUGCCCCGGAUGCCAUCGGAGAGGCACAGGCCUCUUUGGAAAAUGACCGCUCGGCCUCUCAGUACCGCCUGGUCCCGGGUCUGGAAACAUCUGGGUCCUGCCCAGCUGGAAAGACGGGGCGUGACCCCCUGGAUCUCUGUCCUCGGCCGCGAGAAGGUGACCCACAGCUGGAAAUUCCCAUGGCAAGUGUCGGUGUUGACAAGAGUCCCUGAGAAAGUGGUGGCCAGGGGGCUGUGUGCCGAGCCCUCGAGGCCUUUCCCCUCGGGCUCUCCUUCUUCUGUCCUCUGUCCUCUGUCCUCUGCCGCGGCCUCCCUUCCCUCCACGUGUCCCCUCCGUGCGGCCGGCCCCUCGGCCUUCGAGCCGCUGGCGGGCCCUCCCAGGGCUGCUCUGUCCCCUGGCUCUGCACACCUCUCUCCUCCCUCCUCCUUGUCGCCUGCCUGGCUCUGGGUCACCCCCUUACUUGGUUCCAAAGAGCGAGCCCCAACUUGCCCAUGAGGGUGCUCAGAGGGGGCGGAGUCGGCGGGCGCGUCUUUGGACAGGCGUCUCUUCAAGGAGCCUGAGUCCGUGACGUGAAAGUGUGAAGGGCUCUUCCACUCCGGCUCCCCGCUCCUGCGUGAGCGGACACAUCUCCAGACAGGGAGCCGUCAGGUUUCCUGCAAGAAAUUAAAGACCCGGGCGCCGCGCAGCGGCGCCCAUCACCUGCGCCGCCCGCUGGCCUUCGCCAGAGGCUUUGCUUCCCGGGUGCGUGGAGGCCACAUCUUUAAUAGGAUCCCUUCCCCAGAUCUCUCUAAGGAAGGUGGACGCGUGUCUUCUAGAUAAGCGAGCUCACAGUAAGGCUGGCGGUUCUCAUUUCGGUGCGAGCCAGCGUCUCACCCCUUCUUAUCUGAGUCACAAGGACACUGGGCCGGCACCGUCCUCGACGUCUACACUGGGGAGCUGUCCUGGUGGGGGAGAAUCCUUAUGGUGAGUGCAUCUGGGCCUCCGGCUGGUCUGGUGGACGCAGUGCUGGGCUCGCUUCCUUCUUGAAUCUCUGAUUCCUUGAUUCAGUGCUCAACCCGUCAGCAUCUGCUUCAGAGGAAGACAGGCCCCAGUCUAGCCAACAUGGCCCCCACCUGCCUCGGUGGGUGAUUGGGUUAGCUCUGAGCAUGUAACCUGUUUUUGACUAGUGAGACAUGGAGGACAGUUUUCUGGGACGGUUUUCCUCUAUUAAAAGAAGAUCCAAGA
This is a long non-coding RNA of Neofelis nebulosa (Clouded leopard), 4042 nucleotides long. RefSeq lists it as uncharacterized. The transcript is spliced from 2 exons. NCBI's taxonomy places the organism in Eukaryota, Metazoa, Chordata, Mammalia, Carnivora, Felidae. The record is from RefSeq and is a predicted model, not a curated record.